UGUGGAUGGAGCUCGUAGACGGAGUUUGCUUCCUCGUUCAACAUGCUCACUCUCUUCAAGCAGUCGAUUUCAUGGGGAUCAACCAGCAUGUCGUUAUCUCCAUCCUUCCACCCUAUCAGCUUCACACCAUCACAUUCAUCCCACCUUUGGGAGGAGCGGCGUGAUUUUCAGGAGAGAAGCACGUUCAAGGUGGGCCCAACUGAUGAAUGAACCAGAUGUUGCACGUGUGCUGCUAAUCGAAUUGGAGAGAGGAGCUAACCUUAGGUGGGCUUCCCAUGGCAUUGGUGCUGAACAAUCUGGCCUUGUCAACGAGCUGGCAAUAACGAGGAAAGGCAUUUGCAAAUCUCUUGUGAGAUGUUAGCUGCGACUUCACCCUCACCGCUCUUCUAUUCAGUAUAGCUCUCCUGCAUCCCCAAAACAACUUCACAUGAUUCUCAGAUUGCAUGUUAUUAUUAUUAUGCUUGGCCCUUAGUUCCUGAAAGUGGGCCACAUUUUUUGCUCAUCCAGAUCUUGAUCUUCCAAAAAGCCCAAGAUGGGACAAUCUUGACCAUUCAUCUCAUGCCCUGCAAAUUAUUCAGCCAAGGAAAAACUCACAAAAGGCUGAAAGUUGGAUGAGCUCAUUUGGGCAUAUUGUCCAUCCAUGAUGGAGCCCACUAUAUCAAUGGUCUGGAUCAGCGAAUGAUGAGCUGAAUUGUAGGAACUAAGGCCAGAUCUUCUAAUUCAUCUAUGACGGUACCUCAUUCCUCUAACAACUGCAAGAUAAGCAUCACAAACCACUCCAACAAGCUCUAUCCUAUAAGGUCUCCUCUUUGUAGCUUGUUCUUCUACCUCUUCCCAAUAGUUUUCAGUAAUCGUUCCAUCUUCGGAGGUUUUGUAUCCAACCCCCAUGCGGUAACGAUGACGAUGGACGUUCCUUGCCAUUGCGAUGGUUUGCUCUACGAAGGGCUCCCAUGAGAGUGUGCCAUCCAUGAUCACAUCCCGCCCUUCAUUGAGCGCGGUCACUAGGAGCGAAGAUGCUGCAUCCAUUGACGACUGGUGCACCUGUUUGAUUUUAUUAAGAAAAUGGUGAUGCAUGAGUUUGGAUGCACAAUUGAAUCGAAUUGCAAAUGCUGGGGUAGUAGAUCAAGUGCAAAUAACAAAAUGGUAACAAUCUUUCCUAGCAUUGAUAAUGAGGAAGUGGACUGCAUAUUGCAAUUCGUUUCGGGCCAAACUAACACAAUUGCAGUUUGGAGAUAGUUCCUUCAUGUGAAUCCUGAGGAAAAUUCAGAAACUUAUACUAGAUAUCAUGCCAGGUCGAGAUAACUCAAAGACUUGAACCAGUCUUUACUUGACUUGACUCGACUCGAUGUUUUAAUAAUCGAGUUUAAAGGUA
Molecule: long non-coding RNA, 1372 nt
Organism: Magnolia sinica
Lineage: Eukaryota; Viridiplantae; Streptophyta; Magnoliopsida; Magnoliales; Magnoliaceae
Exons: 2
Source: RefSeq, a predicted model, not a curated record